Molecule: ribosomal RNA, 577 nt
Filed under: uncultured bacterium
Lineage: Bacteria
Description: partial 16S ribosomal RNA
Rfam family: Bacterial small subunit ribosomal RNA
Source: RNAcentral
UGGGGAAUUUUGGACAAUUGGGCGAAAGCCUGAUCCAGCAAUGCCGCGUGUGUGAAGAAGGCCUUCGGGUUGUAAAGCACUUUUGUCCGGAAAGAAAUCCUUGGCUCUAAUACAGUCGGGGGAUGACGGUACCGGAAGAAUAAGCACCGGCUAACUACGUGCCAGCAGCCGCGGUAAUACGUAGGGUGCAAGCGUUAAUCGGAAUUACUGGGCGUAAAGCGUGCGCAGGCGGUUUGCUAAGACCGAUGUGAAAUCCCCGGGCUCAACCUGGGAACUGCAUUGGUGACUGGCAGGCUAGAGUAUGGCAGAGGGGGGUAGAAUUCCACGUGUAGCAGUGAAAUGCGUAGAGAUGUGGAGGAAUACCGAUGGCGAAGGCAGCCCCCUGGGCCAAUACUGACGCUCAUGCACGAAAGCGUGGGGAGCAAACAGGAUUAGAUACACUGGUAGUCCACGCCCUAAACGAUGUCAACUGUUGUUGGGGAUUCAUUUCCUUAGUAACGUAGCUAACGCGUGAAGUUGACCGCCUGGGGAGUACGGUCGCAAGAUUAAAACUCAAAGAAAUUGACGGGGUCAUAGC